This 840-nucleotide ribosomal RNA is filed under the name uncultured Staphylococcus sp. RNAcentral describes it as "bacterial SSU rRNA". It matches the Rfam family "Bacterial small subunit ribosomal RNA", at positions 72 to 896 of the family's 1533-position model. Lineage: Bacteria; Bacillati; Bacillota; Bacilli; Caryophanales; Staphylococcaceae. The record is from RNAcentral.
UAAGGAGCUUGCUCCUUUGACGUUAGCGGCGGACGGGUGAGUAACACGUGGGUAACCUACCUAUAAGACUGGGACAACUUCGGGAAACCGGAGCUAAUACCGGAUAAUAUGUUGAACCGCAUGGUUCAAUAGUGAAAGAUGGUUUUGCUAUCACUUAUAGAUGGACCCGCGCCGUAUUAGCUAGUUGGUGAGGUAACGGCUCACCAAGGCAACGAUACGUAGCCGACCUGAGAGGGUGAUCGGCCACACUGGAACUGAGACACGGUCCAGACUCCUACGGGAGGCAGCAGUAGGGAAUCCUCCGCAAUGGGCGAAAGCCUGACGGAGCAACGCCGCGUGAGUGAUGAAGGUCUUAGGAUCGUAAAACUCUGUUAUUAGGGAAGAACAAACGUGUAAGUAACUGUGCACGUCUUGACGGUACCUAAUCAGAAAGCCACGGCUAACUACGUGCCAGCAGCCGCGGUAAUACGUAGGUGGCAAGCGUUAUCCGGAAUUAUUGGGCGUAAAGCGCGCGUAGGCGGUUUUUUAAGUCUGAUGUGAAAGCCCACGGCUCAACCGUGGAGGGUCAUUGGAAACUGGAAAACUUGAGUGCAGAAGAGGAAAGUGGAAUUCCAUGUGUAGCGGUGAAAUGCGCAGAGAUAUGGAGGAACACCAGUGGCGAAGGCGACUUUCUGGUCUGUAACUGACGCUGAUGUGCGAAAGCGUGGGGAUCAAACAGGAUUAGAUACCCUGGUAGUCCACGCCGUAAACGAUGAGUGCUAAGUGUUAGGGGGUUUCCGCCCCUUAGUGCUGCAGCUAACGCAUUAAGCACUCCGCCUGGGGAGUACGACCGCAAGGUUG